This 698-nucleotide long non-coding RNA is filed under the name Mus pahari (shrew mouse). RNAcentral describes it as "lncRNA (MGP_PahariEiJ_G0004654.1)". Lineage: Eukaryota; Metazoa; Chordata; Mammalia; Rodentia; Muridae. The record is from RNAcentral.
GACAGUGGAGAGACCUGCCCGCCCCCAGGGGCUCUUCUGAGCCUCGUGGAAAGGCAACCCAGGUCUCCUCGGAAUGUGGCUCAUCAGGCUCCUACAGACACCAACUGACGUGAGGGAGGUUGCAGUAGCCGAAGAGCAGAGUUUCAGCUUGAGCCUUCACACCAGAUGGAUUUGAAUCGUAAGCGACACCAAAGGACCUUUGCAGCUUUAGGAGGAGUCCCAGCACCGCCCCUGGAACUUCGCCCUGCUGUCUCUGUGCACAGCGGGUUGGCUUAGCACAAAAGCCACCUGACUCCACCCACCCCUCUUGGCACGUGCGGGAGUCCCAGUCCCUAACCUAGUCCUGGCCCGCCGCCACGUCCCGAGGGGAGCGACCUCUAAUCCCCGGGGCUCCUCGGGAAAACCAUUAGGCGGCGGGACCGCGCCCCGCGGGUCCCACCCGGCCAUUUGGGAGCCCGCUCCCGCCGCACCCCCCUUCCUGUCACUCUCCAUCGUCGCCGGAUAUCUACCACAGCGACUGUCUGCUCGAACCCGGGACCGCAAGGCUGGCCUCUUGCCUGCCGUGCCUGUACGGCGAGGCCAGGAGCGUUGUGUCCAUGCCUUGGCUCUCUGUCACUGACCGCCCUAGCCCUGCCAGUUUUGAGCUAGACCCUUCAUUCGCCCCCAACCCGCGUGGCCAGCCUGGAGGGAAGUGUCCA